UCUUGGUCAUUUAGAGGAAGUAAAAGUCGUAACAAGGUCUCCGUUGGUGAACCAGCGGAGGGAUCAUUACCGAGUUUACAACUCCCAAACCCCUAUGUGAACGUUACCAAACUGUUGCCUCGGCGGGAUUUCUGCCCCGGGCGCGUCGCAGCCCCGGACCAAGGCGCCCGCCGGAGGACCAAUUUACAAACUCUUUUGUAUAUCCCAUCGCGGAUUCUUUACAUUCUGAGCUUUCUCGGCGCUCCUAGCGAGCGUUUCGAAAAUGAAUCAAAACUUUCAACAACGGAUCUCUUGGUUCUGGCAUCGAUGAAGAACGCAGCGAAAUGCGAUAAGUAAUGUGAAUUGCAGAAUUCAGUGAAUCAUCGAAUCUUUGAACGCACAUUGCGCCCGCCAGUAUUCUGGCGGGCAUGCCUGUCCGAGCGUCAUUUCAACCCUCGAACCCCUCCGGGGGGUCGGCGUUGGGGAUCGGCACUUACCUGCCGGCCCCGAAAUACAGUGGCGGUCUCGCCGCAGCCUCUCCUGCGCAGUAGUUUGCACACUCGCACCGGGAGCGCGGCGCGUCCACGGCCGUAAAACAACCCAAACUUCUGAAAUGUUGACCUCGGAUCAGGUAGGAAUACCCGCUGAACUUAAGCAUAUCAAUAAGCGGAGGAA
This 654-nucleotide ribosomal RNA is filed under the name Trichoderma sp. 2 TMS-2011. Its description in RNAcentral is "eukaryotic LSU rRNA". The stretch from base 272 to 425 matches the Rfam family "5.8S ribosomal RNA". The record is from RNAcentral. Lineage: Eukaryota; Fungi; Ascomycota; Sordariomycetes; Hypocreales; Hypocreaceae.